CCUACGGGAGGCAGCAGUGAGGAAUAUUGGUCAAUGGGCGCGAGCCUGAACCAGCCAAGUAGCGUGAAGGAUGACUGCCCUACGGGUUGUAAACUUCUUUUAUAAAGGAAUAAAGUGAGCCACGUGUGCCUUUUUGCAUGUACUUUAUGAAUAAGGAUCGGCUAACUCCGUUCCAGCAGCCGCGGUAAUACGUAGGGGGCAAGCGUUAUCCGGAUUUAUUGGGUUUAAAGGGGGGGCAGAUGGGGUUGAAAGCCAGGGGUGAAAGCCCGGGGCUAAACCCGCGAACUGCCAUUGAAACUGGCAGGCGUGAGUGCGGGAGGGGCAGGCGGAAUGCGUGGUGUAGCGGUGAAAUGCGUAGAUAUCAGGAGGAACUCCGAUUGCGAAGGCGGCUUACUAGACCGCAACUGACGCUGAGGCACGAAAGCGUGGGGAGCAAACAGGAUUAGAUACCCCUGUAGUC
RNAcentral lists this ribosomal RNA (460 nucleotides) under uncultured bacterium. Its description in RNAcentral is "partial 16S ribosomal RNA". It matches the Rfam family "Bacterial small subunit ribosomal RNA", at positions 338 to 795 of the family's 1533-position model. The record is from RNAcentral.